GGAAGUGAGGGCGAUCUGGCUGCGACAUUUGUCACCCCACUGAUCGCCAGGGUUGACUCGGCUGAUCUGGCUGACGAGGCAGGUGUCCCCUUCCUCCCUCACUGCUCCACGUGUGUCCCUUCCGAAGCUGCGCACUUGUCGAAGAGGACAACCAUCCCUGAUAGAAGAGGACCAGUCUUCGGUCAAGGGUGUACAGGUAGCUGCGCUCCCCUGCUAGAACCUCCAAACAUGCGCUAAAGGUCCAUUUAAAAGAAUAACAAUGGCAUCGAUUCUCCCUUCUAUUUCAUCUGUCCUUUUCCAGCAAGAAGAAAAGAGAC
This is an unclassified non-coding RNA of Colobus angolensis palliatus, 317 nucleotides long. Its record names the gene 7SK. It matches the Rfam family "7SK RNA". Rfam says of the family: 7SK was discovered as an abundant small nuclear RNA in the mid-70s but a possible function has only recently been suggested. Two independent studies have found that 7SK RNA binds the CDK9/cyclin T complex (known as elongation factor P-TEFb). P-TEFb activates transcription by phosphorylating the C-terminal domain of RNA polymerase II. The record is from Ensembl. Lineage: Eukaryota; Metazoa; Chordata; Mammalia; Primates; Cercopithecidae.